RNAcentral lists this long non-coding RNA (1055 nucleotides) under Betta splendens (Siamese fighting fish). Its description in RNAcentral is "lncRNA (ENSBSLG00000015915.1)". Lineage: Eukaryota; Metazoa; Chordata; Actinopteri; Anabantiformes; Osphronemidae. The record is from RNAcentral.
GACACACGUAUGGGAGAAAGCUGAAGCUGGCAGUGACGAUUAACCGUAAUAGGACAGGGCACCAUGUGUCAUGAAAAUGCGCCACAUGACACUCGCGUCUCCUGAUAGUACUUGAGGGAGGAGGGAAUUUAUUAUCAGGCAAGAGAUCCAGUCAUGAUGGCCAGCCUGACAAAGUUUUCCCUAGGUUCAAUCAAUCACGUGUGUCCUCUGUGAAGAGGCACCACCACCAGGGGCCCUCGGAGGCUCUGCCAGCAGAUUAGUCACAGCCAACUCUCAUUUCUGCAGCUGUGCUGGUACAGAGAUAGAAUGAUGGAGUAAUGAGGGAUGGGGAAGCGUUAGGAGGGAGGUGGGCACCGCGUAGACGACGGAGGGGACGAGAGAGGGGGAAAGAUGAAGGCGAACGCGGGGAAAAAGAGCGUAAUGAGCGGUAAAAGGAGGCGACGGGGACGGCGGCGGCGCCAACAAUGAAACGGUGGGAUGAGGAGGGAAAGACGUGAUCCGCCCAUGAUGGAUUUCACCAGAACAAAAGCACAGAGGUCAGGAGAUCCUGGGACCGGAGACCUGGAGGCGUUUAAAGCACAACACACGCAGCAGCGUUCACUCACGGCGGACGCAUAAUAUCCUCAUGGGAUUAAAGCAUCUGAGACACAUUUUAAUAUCCCCUCUCAUCAACACAUAAGCAACACAGUAAUUAAAUUUAUAACCAGACGCAGCCUUCCUGGAGAUGAGCACAAUUAAACUAAGCACCUAAUUUGAAAUGAUGCCAUCAAAGUCGUAUGUUGUAAAACUGUAAAUAAUUCUGCUUUUUUUAAUACUUUUCAGAACUUGAUGUUUUCCAGCAGAUUUUUCAUUUCAGUCCUAUAACCACCAAUUUAAUUUCCUCAGUAACCUGCUCAUUUGUGUCAAUGGGGAACAAGGUAUAAAGGGUUUCAGAGCUUGUGUGCCUCAGUUAGACUGAAGAUUUCAACCCACCUAUACUUUCAUGUUUGAUUCUUUCUGAGUGCUUCCGAAUUGGUUCUGGUAAACGUUAUUCGCGUUAGAUUCAAAAGGCCCCA